Molecule: long non-coding RNA, 1277 nt
Filed under: Vulpes vulpes (red fox)
Lineage: Eukaryota; Metazoa; Chordata; Mammalia; Carnivora; Canidae
Description: lncRNA (ENSVVUG00000013292.1)
Source: RNAcentral
GCCCCCUCGCCUGGCGGUGACCGGGUCGCCCCCGCAGGGUCACCCGCGGCUCCCACCGCGGCUCCCGCCUGGCAGCUCCGGAAGUCCCUGCCGGCAGCGCCCCUUCGUGGCUCGGAGAGCGCAGCGUCGACCCUGGAGUCGCCGGGAAGGGGCCCCUGCUCAGGCCCGCGAGUCCCGCGGCAGGUGUCAGCCCGUGGUCGCCCAGCCUGCGGUCACAGCAGCUUGACCUUGGGGUGCCCGGGAUACCCAGUGGUUGAAUCAGCAAAGGGCCUUUGAAGAAUACACAGAAUGUGAAAGUGCCACACUUCUGAAGGCAACAAUGUUUGGUUUCUUGCCCAAGGUGGAGGCAGGGAUUGAAGCUCUUCGUCUUCUCUUAUUGCUGUUCUUACCCAAUACUGAGAGCCCUUUACCCGAGCCCUGGAGACAACAGAGUUUGCUGCCCCUUUCCCAGUGGCUUGAAGCCUUAUCAUUCAUAGAAAGGGUAUGACAACCAGACUUUUGUUCUUUCCAUAGUGGGAGGUUACUCUCCUCCAGCAAGGCCUUCACCUCCAAAGGAGGCACUCACUCUCUGGUGUCCUGCUUUGUUCCCAGUUUUCCUCAUCAGCACCCAGUGAGAACAUGGAGAAGUGGAAGCAAGCUCCUUUUUUUGUCUGAGGCUUACAGAGAUUGUGAACUUUCCUCCUGGUCCACAUUUGGCCUUUAGCAUCUGUUAACAAUUUUAGCUGAAUUCUUAGCAUUCUGUUUGGUACCUGAUGUCUCCUCUUCAGUGCUCACAUCCUAUCUCUUCUUGGUGGGGCCAGCCUUUCCUUGGAUCUCAAGUUACUUGCUGGGUCUGCGACCCUUGCUGUGAUGUCCAACUAUCCCAACUUGUGUGGUACUGAGGAGUUUCCCAGGACGUGGGACUUAAAGAACUAAAACUGGGAAAAGUCCAGUAGGUCACCCUAGCCUCAGCUCUCCAACAGGUUCAAGAGAAGCUUUUCUAUAGUUUUUCUAGUUGUUUAGGUGAGAGUGAUGUUCUUUCUAGGUUUCUACAUCCUAGGUAGAAGCCAAAUUGGUGAAAUAAUUACACAUGUUGAAAGUGAACAAAAAUGGUUCUUGAGAUAGUAAAAAGCCAUAUUUGGUAAACAUCUGUUUCUUACUAAGGCAGAUGGGUUUUUUGUGAAAUCCCUAAAAUAGAGAAUAAGCAAAAUUAGUUUAGUCUCUUCCAUUCUUUUGUCUGUCAACAACAGAUAUAUCUCAUUACGUAAAUAAACUCUAGAUGAAGAGAUAGAUUCUCA